Small nuclear RNA from Lycium barbarum (goji berry), 99 nucleotides. The record is from RefSeq and is a predicted model, not a curated record. Lineage: Eukaryota; Viridiplantae; Streptophyta; Magnoliopsida; Solanales; Solanaceae.
GCCACUGUCAGGGACAAUAAAAUUGGAACGAUACAGAGAAGAUUAGCAUGACCCUGCUCAGGAAUGACACACCCAAAUCAAGAAAUGGUCCAAAACUCC